This 84-nucleotide non-coding RNA is filed under the name Uruburuella suis. The record is from RNAcentral. Lineage: Bacteria; Pseudomonadati; Pseudomonadota; Betaproteobacteria; Neisseriales; Neisseriaceae.
UCCAAUGGGAAACAGGGGCGGGAGGCCUUGCGCCUGCUGGUUCGAACUGCCAGUCUGCUAACCCGCCUUUUGUUUCCCGCCCAC